This 468-nucleotide ribosomal RNA is filed under the name uncultured bacterium. Its description in RNAcentral is "partial 16S ribosomal RNA". It matches the Rfam family "Bacterial small subunit ribosomal RNA", at positions 28 to 507 of the family's 1533-position model. The record is from RNAcentral.
GACGAACGCUGGCGGCGUGCUUAACACAUGCAAGUCGAACGGAAAGGCCCUGCUUUUGUGGGGUGCUCGAGUGGCGAACGGGUGAGUAACACGUGAGUAACCUGCCCUUGACUUUGGGAUAACUUCAGGAAACUGGGGCUAAUACCGGAUAGGAGCUCCUGCUGCAUGGUGGGGGUUGGAAAGUUUCGGCGGUUGGGGAUGGACUCGCGGCUUAUCAGCUUGUUGGUGGGGUAGUGGCUUACCAAGGCUUUGACGGGUAGCCGGCCUGAGAGGGUGACCGGGCACAGUGGGACUGAGAUACGGCCCAGACUCCUACGGGAGGCAGCAGUGGGGAAUAUUGCACAAUGGGCGGAAGCCUGAUGCAGCAACGCCGCGUGCGGGAUGACGGCCUUCGGGUUGUAAACCGCUUUCGCCUGUGACGAAGCGUGAGUGACGGUAAUGGGUAAAGAAGCACCGGCUAACUACGUG